UGCAAUGGAAGAAGCUCCUGGGAGGGAAGAUGGUAGUGAUCCUGUUUUAGAUGGAGAAGGAAAUCCCAUUAACGUGAAACAGGCUUCAUGUACAGAUUCUAAACUAAAAUUCUACCUGACAGAUGAUAAAGGAACUUCAAAGGAGUCUUUGAUAGAAAUGCACGAACCUCUAGCAAUUACAGGAGUAUCCAAGCGGCUUAAUGUGCUAGUAUGUUGGCCAAAAAAGCCGAUUGAACAGUAUGAUACACGUCUUCUUAGCUCCUUACCUGAAAUUUUUAAGUCUGGAUUUUUUGCAAAGAGACCUCAGGAGUCUGUUUCCUUGUAUAAGUGUCUUGAAGCAUUCUUGACUGAGGAGCCUCUUGGUCCAGAUGACAUGUGGUGAGUGUAGAAAUUAUAUAGUAUAUAGUUUUUUAACUUAAGCAGAAGAAAUAUUUCCAUUAUGAAUAGUUAUUAUCAAAAAUUGUUUACCUGACUUGCAUAGGAGAGGUAUUACAAGUUAUUUUAACCUGGUUUCUUAUUUUUUCUGAACCAUUUUGCACACUACGAAUUUCCCUGAUAUUAUGCUUUUGUUUGACAGUAAGUUGGGUAUCAUUUUUCUUGUGUCAAAAGAUCUAGAAGGCUAGUAACUUACUUUGUCACUAAUUUUAAUGGAUCUGACUUUAAAUUAUAACACUAGAAAAAAUUGUUGUUUUCUUGAAGAGCUUUCCUAUGUGAAGGAAUUGGGUAUCACAUUCGCGCACACAGCAUACUAACUUAAUUGAAGUAAUUCUCUUUUGCUUAUUCUGCUAUGAAAUCCUUGUGAACUGAAGUCUAUUGGAGUUGGAAAGCUCCAUUACUUUUUAAUCUCUGGCUUGCUUUUUGUCAAACAUUUGAUGAUGGUAAUAAGAUGAGAUCUUGGAUUCUUCCUUUCUGCCCCAUCUGCUAUAGCUGCUUCUUGUUUAUAACACUAAGCCUGGCUCUAGUGUUCUUUUUUUCUUCCUCUACAUGACUGGGAUAUUUAUUCUGAUGCUUCCAUUUUCCAUUUGGUUCUUUCUUUUAACUUCCAUAGGAAGGAUUUAAUGUACUGAGGUGGCAAACGGUUUUAUUGGUAUAAUGAAUUUUUCACUUAUAGAUUUCACGUCUUCUUGGGCUUUCCUUGUCUGAACUGUGGCUUGCUUUUGUUUUCCACCACAUGCUAAUUUCUGGUUUUCAUUUAUGUAAUCUAGGUAUUGUCCUGGCUGCAAAACACAUCGUCAAGCUGUUAAAAAAUUAGAUCUGUGGAGACUCCCAGAGAUUCUCGUUAUUCAUUUAAAGAGGUUUUCAUACAGUCGGUUCCUAAAGAACAAACUUGAGACUUAUGUUGAUUUUCCUGCUGAUGAUCUUGAUUUGUCACCAUAUGUUACCCAGUGGAAUUGCCAAUCAUCAGCUCGGUACAUGCUUUAUGCUGUUAGCAAUCACUAUGGAAGCAUGGGAGGUGGUCAUUACACUGCAUUUGUCCAUGUAAGUGAUAUGUCCCCAUGUUCUUCAUAUGUUCUGGUUUGAGGUGAAUAUUUUUGGUCAAGAGUGGCUUUAGAUGGCCUUUUCCCACAUGGAUAGGUGAAUGUCAUCAGGCUUCUGCUGGUUCAUGUCUCGGCUUUAGAACCUGCUGCUCCUUAGGAAGUUAAAGCUCUGGUUAGCACAUGAAAUCUUUUUUUUUCCCUAAUUUGUAUGUUUAUGUAGAUAAACAUACUUGCAUAGUUGACAAUGAUGACAAGGUAUGGAAAAUCAUUUUUGAGAUAACUAGUUUCUUUCUUGAGAUAACAAGGUAUGGAAAAUCAUAUUGAAGUAAGAAGUAGAAAUUAGUUAGGAAUUGAAUGAGAACUGAACUAAAUACAACUCUUGGUUCGACAUCAGUUGUCUUCACCUAUUACCACCGCAUUCAGCAUAUACAAACCAUUGAAGGCAUCCAGUUCUUGGCGCUUAAAAGGUCAAUUAAUCCGAUGCUGACGCUUAGGAAAAUUUCGAAUAGCUUUCACUUUAAGCAAUACUAUAAGUUCCUUCAUUUUUCUGCCGUCCGCUUUUACUGUAUUGAUCUUCUUUUAAUUAUUUACAGAUUGUCUAGCUAAGUUAAGAUAUGGAGGUUUAUUUGUAAAGUUUUGAGUGCUUUACUGGCAUAAGCUUUAUGCUAUUAAACGUUUUGAUUAAAGAUAUACUUAUUUAUUGCUAUUUAAUUUAAUAAAAGACUGAAAUUUGCGACAAAAAUGUUUUAAGGGUUUAAGUUAUAGAAUUUUGAGAUAAAAUUAUCUUUUACUUAUCACCAAUGUAUUGGAAGACUUUAUAUGCUGUCUAGCUUCUUUCAUGUUAAAUUGUUGCAAAAACUUAUAAGCUUUCUAAUUACCCAGCUUUGGCUUUUCAUCCUAUUCAAACAUGUUUCCAACAAUAUUAAUCUCAGAGAGCUUACGAACUCUUUUAUAAACUUUUCUUAGCCAAAAAAUAAUUUAUGUCAAACACUGUACUAGCCAUUUAAGUAUCUUUCUGCACUUCUAGGAUGUUGAAGAGGCUAGUGUUAGGCAAAAGAGCUUUUCUUGGACAUGAUUUGGUGAAAAACCUUAAGUGAUUAGAGCUGUAACUCUCCAACCGUAAUGUAAAUGCUUUCUUUAGCUGGGCCAUUUUAUGCAUCUUUUAGAAUGUAGCAUGCGCAUUAGUCCUGCAUAAUUGCUUGUGAAGAAAAAGAUAUUUAGGAUCUAAUUGAUCUAUUCAUAAGCUAAUGACUUAAUCUCUCUUAAUUUGUGAUUGAUAAUCGCAUGUAUGCAUGACAGUGCACUGUAUUAAUCUGAAUGUCUUAAUGUUCCCCUUUCUAUUGUAGCACGGUGGUGAUCAGUGGUAUGACUUUGAUGAUAGCCAUGUCUAUCCGAUCGGCCAGGAAAAGAUAAAAACUUCAGCUGCUUAUGUUCUUUUCUACAGAAGAGUUGCGGAGGUAUAACAUUAGAUUAGCAUUGUCAAUUUCUGAAGAACUACGUCGAGAUUGACUUAUUAACAGUUUUGCAAUCUUAGACCUAAAAUUCUUUCGAGUCCAUUAUUAACUAUUAACUGUAUCAUGGUGGGAGCUAAAGCAGUAAGACCAUAAAGAGGAGAAUAUUUUUAGUGAAUUUAAGAAGAAAACACAUGUAACUAACUGCUAGAGGAAGAAUGUUUAGCUUUUUAUUAGAACAUAGGAAUUUUUUCUAAGAAGGGGUUUGCUUUCAGUGUCCACUCAAAUGUAUGUUGUACAACUGAGUGUAGAUUGAAUCAUUUGAUCAGCAAUUUUGCUUCUAUCUGGAUGUGCUGUCUCAAAUUCAGAAUUUUGUUUUAAUGCUUCUAUAUUUUCUGAGUAGCUUGAGCUCGUAAACAUUCUAUAUAUUCCUGGGACAAAUUGAGCAAAGAUUUUAAUCCAUUGUAAAGCUUUUAUAAUUCAGUCUUAUGGCUGUUUGUGGAUGGAAUUCUUCUGCACGCAUGGAAUGUGUAUGUCAAUGUCAUCCCCCAGGGCUUAAACUGUGUAAAACAACAGCAAGGUCUGGUAAAUACUAUGUUUUCCUUAGCUUUGAGUAAUUUUUGGAUAUUUAUUUCGCCGAGCAUGAUAAAACAAGGUUCUUCAAUAUAUGGAUCUUCAUUUAUGUGAAAGAAUUUGCGGCUUGUACUGUUUUCUUAUUGUGAGGUUGCUGGAUCUUCCUACAUAUCUGAUUUGUGUUAAUGUACUGACACAGUCCGAGUUAUAUAAGAAAGAGGGUGCAGUGCAGCAUAAGGUGAUUUCGCUAAGUAAGUUAUCAAAACUAUACCUUCAUCGCUGUUGAACUUGCUCAAAAUGGUUGUUGAAGUCUGUCUCGGACCCUUGAAGAAAUCCGAUUGUGAUGAAUUCAGUUUCCUGUCGAAGUUACUCUGGAAUUAUCUCCUAGCAUGCAUGGUCCGAAGUUGGCAGGACGAUUUAUCAGGUAGAAAAUAGAAAAUUUCGUCCAAUUUACAUGGAGAUUUCUUUCAGCAACCACAUAAAAGUGAAUGCAGAAUUAGGUCUCAGGAGCUUUUACAAUGCUCUGUUGCACAGAUUAUCGAGAAAUUUGUCUCCUCCUCCGAACUUGGAAAAGAAAGAGAAAAAUUAGCCGACGAUUCUAGGUUUCGACAACCAUCAUGUUACUGAAAAAUACAGAAGGGAAACACAGAAUUAGGUGAGAGAGGAGCAGAGAGAGGAGACAGCAAAGAGAGGGUUUUUUUUUUUUUUUCUCUCUAAUUUCAUUCACUAACAGUUCUUAUCCUUUUAUAGCCCUAGCUUAUAAUGAACCUACACAAUCUUUCACAUCAUCUUUACAUAUAGCAACACUCCUGUAAAAAUUACCUUGAACCUUGAGGUGAGAUCAGAAAUGGGUAUCAAUCAAAAUUGAAAGUUUCUCAUCAGAGAGAGAGAAAUUCUAAUUGCACAGAGCUCGCAUGGAGUUGUCUGAGGACUUGGUACCAAAUUUAAUAUACUUACCAUACCAUAUAAAA
RNAcentral lists this long non-coding RNA (4473 nucleotides) under Carica papaya (papaya). RNAcentral describes it as "long non-coding RNA (CPAP_LNC006702)". Lineage: Eukaryota; Viridiplantae; Streptophyta; Magnoliopsida; Brassicales; Caricaceae. The record is from RNAcentral.